AGGACGAACGCUGGCGGCGUGCCUAAUACAUGCAAGUCGAACGGUCUUUCUAUGGAAGCUUGCUCCACUGAGAAGAUAGUGGCGAACGGGUGAGUAACACGUGGGUAACCUGCCCAUAAGAGGGGGAUAACAUCCGGAAACGGGUGCUAAUACCGCAUAGUUUUCUUGAUCGCAUGAUUGAGAAAGGAAAGACGGCCUUUGUGCUGUCGCUUAUGGAUGGACCCGCGGCGUAUUAGUUAGUUGGUGAGGUAACGGCUCACCAAGACGAUGAUACGUAGCCGACCUGAGAGGGUGAUCGGCCACAUUGGGACUGAGACACGGCCCAAACUCCUACGGGAGGCAGCAGUAGGGAAUCUUCCGCAAUGGACGAAAGUCUGACGGAGCAACGCCGCGUGAGUGAAGAAAGGUUUUCGGAUCGUAAAACUCUGUUGUCAGAGAAGAACAAGUUGGAGAGUAACUGCUCCAGCCUUGACGGUAUCUGACCAGAAAGCCACGGCUAACUACGUGCCAGCAGCCGC
RNAcentral lists this ribosomal RNA (518 nucleotides) under uncultured bacterium. Its description in RNAcentral is "bacterial SSU rRNA". It matches the Rfam family "Bacterial small subunit ribosomal RNA", at positions 26 to 518 of the family's 1533-position model. The record is from RNAcentral.